This 74-nucleotide transfer RNA is filed under the name Delftia acidovorans. Its description in RNAcentral is "tRNA-Gly". It matches the Rfam family "tRNA". Rfam says of the family: Transfer RNA (tRNA) molecules are approximately 80 nucleotides in length. Their secondary structure includes four short double-helical elements and three loops (D, anti-codon, and T loops). Lineage: Bacteria; Pseudomonadati; Pseudomonadota; Betaproteobacteria; Burkholderiales; Comamonadaceae. The record is from RNAcentral. RNAcentral also lists the same sequence under 3 other names.
GCGGCCUUGGCCUAUCGGUCGGGCAUCAGCCUUCCAAGCUGAGGAGCCGGGUUCGAUUCCCGGAGGCCGCUCCA